GCUCUCGAAGGUGACCUGCGGAGGGAUCAUUA
Molecule: ribosomal RNA, 32 nt
Filed under: Schizothyrium cylindricum
Lineage: Eukaryota; Fungi; Ascomycota; Dothideomycetes; Mycosphaerellales; Schizothyriaceae
Description: partial 18S ribosomal RNA
Source: RNAcentral